ACCAGGAUGGCCGAGUGGUUAAGGCAUUGGACUGAAGAUCCAAUGGAUGUCUGUCUACAUGGGUUCAGGCCCCACUCCUGGUA
Protopterus annectens (West African lungfish) is the source of this 83-nucleotide non-coding RNA. The record is from the annotation of a RefSeq genome assembly. Lineage: Eukaryota; Metazoa; Chordata; Ceratodontiformes; Protopteridae.